ACAAAUUAAUUAAUACUCAACUGAUAAGAAUUACAUUGAUCAUCCUCCAAAAAGGAGCUGACAACAAAGUAAGGAACAAAAUUAUAAAAACAAGUAUCAAUCUCUAAUUAAGGAUAGUCCAGCUUUGGCAAAAGAAUCCGCUAAUUUAUUUGCCUCCCUUUGGAUAUGCACCAUCGAGCAUUGCUGAAACUUGUCUUUGAGUUUCCAAAUCAGAAAUGAUUUCUGCAAACUGGUUAGCAACCGAGUUAAAAUUAUUCAACAGAUUGAUAGCAUCAAGACAGUCAGUUUCAACAAUCAAACAAGUCUCUCCCAACUCCCGUGCCAUAUUCAUGCCAUAAAAAACUAAAGAAGAUAAAAGAAGAAGAAAGGUAAAAAAAUGGAAUCUCUAAGGGCAGUGGGCAUGCUCACAAUUAAAUAUCUUUAUAUGACAAAACUAAAGAAGAAAAA
Molecule: long non-coding RNA, 447 nt
Filed under: Glycine max (soybean)
Lineage: Eukaryota; Viridiplantae; Streptophyta; Magnoliopsida; Fabales; Fabaceae
Description: long non-coding RNA (GMAX_LNC002835)
Source: RNAcentral